GACGAACCGUGCGAACGUUAUUCGGAAUCACUGGGCUUAAAGCGCGUGUAGGCGGAUCGGAACGUCGGCUGUUGAAAGCCCCCGGCUCAACCGGGGAAUCGGCACCGAAACGACCGGUCUGGAGGGAGGUAGGGGGAGCCGGAACUUCCGGUGGAGCGGUGAAAUGCGUUGAGAUCGGAAGGAACGCCCGUGGCGAAAGCGGGCUCCUGGACCUCACCUGACGCUGAGACGCGAAAGCCAGGGUAGCGAACGGG
RNAcentral lists this ribosomal RNA (254 nucleotides) under uncultured bacterium. RNAcentral describes it as "partial 16S ribosomal RNA". It matches the Rfam family "Bacterial small subunit ribosomal RNA", at positions 524 to 776 of the family's 1533-position model. The record is from RNAcentral.